UACGAAGGGUGCAAACGUUGCUCGGAAUUAUUGGGCGUAAAGCGCACGUAGGCGGCAUUGCAAGUCGGAUGUGAAAUCUUAUGGCUUAACCAUAAAAGUGCAUCCGAAACUGCAGUGCUUGAGUACCUAAGAGGAUCGCGGAAUUCCCGGUGUAGAGGUGAAAUUCGUAGAUAUCGGGAGGAACACCAGUGGCGAAGGCGGCGAUCUGGGAAGAUACUGACGCUGAGGUGCGAAAGCGUGGGGAGCAAACAGG
Molecule: ribosomal RNA, 253 nt
Filed under: uncultured bacterium
Lineage: Bacteria
Description: partial 16S ribosomal RNA
Rfam family: Bacterial small subunit ribosomal RNA
Source: RNAcentral